RNAcentral lists this long non-coding RNA (1287 nucleotides) under Anolis carolinensis (green anole). RNAcentral's name for it is "lncRNA (ENSACAG00000041542.1)". The record is from RNAcentral. Lineage: Eukaryota; Metazoa; Chordata; Lepidosauria; Squamata; Anolidae.
AUGAUAUGCAUUAUCCCUGUCAAUAACCCAUCCCCAUGUGUUACGGUCUUUUUGUACACUGGGUACCGCAGCCCUUUCUUCCGGCAAGCUCUAUUUAGCCGACUGAAUUUCCCUCCCAUUCAUAUUAUAACGAAUAUGACAGGAUUCAGAAUUUUUUCUUUAUGUAAACUGUAUUGUAUAAUUGUUGUGGGCCCCAGUGGUGGCGUAUUUCCAUUUCUUUCCCUCUUCCCCUUUUUACGCCUCAUGCUUUUACAAAUAGACAACUUCUUAAUCUUUCAGUUUGCAGACAGAGACACUGAAAUACACUUGCUUCACCAAGAAAUUGCGGAAUUCAAAGACCAAAUGGCCAUCCUGAGUGCAAGAAACGCACGCCUUCAAGAUACUGUGAAACGCAGAGAGAAAGAAUUUGUUGAAUUAGAGAAUGAAAUGCUAUCUGUGCAAGAGAAAAAAGAAAAAGAUAUGAAGAUAAUUCAAAAGGUACUGUAUUCUUUAUUUAUUUAUUGACAGUGAUGGAUUACCUCGUACAAAGACACUAGAGCCAGGGAGUUAUUCACACACAUAAUGAAAAAGAGCGGCCCUUCCAACUGCCUAGAGACCUUUGAGCUAAUUUUUGCAUAGCUCAUCAGUCCCCUCGGGGAGAUAGGUGCAGGUAUAUAAAUAAAGUUGUUGUUGUUAUUAUUAUUAUUAUUAUUAUUAUUAUUAUUAUUAUUAUUAUUUUAUUAUGACACAGCAAACAAGAUAGAUAUGCUGGAUUUCAUAUCACAAAAUCACAAGUCGAACACUUCCCAGGUGUCUAGGACUGUGGGAUGUAUUUUCGGAUGAUGCGUGCAGAUCCCAGUAGGGUGGCCUUUUGCAGUUGGCAGAUCGUAAUUUUGUCAAUGUCUAUUGUUUCCAAAUGCCGGCUGAGAUCUUUUGGCACGGCACCCAGUAUGCCCAUCACCACCGGGACGACCUGCACUGGUUUCUGCCAGAGUCUUUGAAGUUCAAUCUUGAGGUCCUGAUAGCGGCUGAGUUUUUCCUGUUGUUUUUCGUCAAUGCGACUGUCACCUGGGAUGGCGACAUCAAUGAUCCAAAUCUUUUUCUUUUCCACAACUGUGAUGUCUGGUGUGUUGUGUUCCAGAACUUUGUCAGGGUUGACAAAUAAUAAUAAUAAUAAUAAUAUAAUAAUAAUAAUAAUAAUAAUAAUAAUUGUUAUUAUUAUUAUUAUUAUUAUUAUUAUUAUUAUUAUUAUUAUUAUUAUUUCUACACAGUUUGGACAAGUUGAUAUUCUCCAAUUUAAAAAGAUAU